GAUUAGCCAUGCAUGUCUAAGUACAUGCCGUAUUAAGGCGAAACCGCGAAUGGCUCAUUAAAUCAGUCAUGGUUCCUUGGAUCGUACCUUACUACUUGGAUAACUGUGGCAAUUCUAGAGCUAAUACAUGCAGCAGAGCUCCGACCUUCGGGGACGAGCGCUUUUAUUAGACCAAAACCAAUCGGACCUCGUGUCCGUCCUUUGUGGUGACUCUGUAUAACUUUGGGCUGAUCGCACGGGCCUGUCCCGGCGACGUAUCUUUCAAGUGUCUGCCUUAUCAACUUUCGAUGGUAGGUUACGCGCCUACCAUGGUCGUAACGGGUAACGGGGAAUCAGGGUUCGAUUCCGGAGAGGGAGCCUGAGAAACGGCUACCACAUCCAAGGAAGGCAGCAGGCGCGCAAAUUACCCACUCCCAGAACGGGGAGGUAGUGACGAAAAAUAACAAUACGGGACUCUUUUGAGACCCCGUAAUUGGAAUGAGUACACUCUAAAUCCUUUAACGAGGAUCCAUUGGAGGGUAAGUCUGGUGCCAGCAACCGCGGUAAUUCCAGCUCCAAUAGCGUAUAUUAAAGUUGUUGCGGUUAAAAAGCUCGUAGUUGGAUCUCAGUUCCAGACGGGUGGUCCUCCUACCGGUGGUUACUGCCUGUUCUGAACAGUCAGCCGGUUUCUCUUGAUGAUCUUCACCGGUUGUCUUGGGUGACCGGCAAGUUUACUUUGAAAAAAUUAGAGUGCUCAAAGCAGGCGUGACGCCUGAAUAAUGGUGCAUGGAAUAAUGGAAUAGGACCUCGGUUCUAUUUUGUUGGUUUUCGGAACACGAGGUAAUGAUUAAGAGGGACAGACGGGGGCAUUCGUAUUGCGACGCUAGAGGUGAAAUUCUUGGACCGUCGCAAGACGAACUACUGCGAAAGCAUUUGCCAAGAAUGUUUCCAUUAAUCAAGAACGAAAGUUAGAGGUUCGAAGGCGAUCAGAUACCGCCCUAGUUCUAACCAUAAACGAUGCCAGCCAGCGAUCCGGCUGUGU
This 1021-nucleotide ribosomal RNA is filed under the name Pireneitega huochengensis. RNAcentral's name for it is "SSU rRNA". It matches the Rfam family "Eukaryotic small subunit ribosomal RNA", at positions 42 to 1063 of the family's 1831-position model. Lineage: Eukaryota; Metazoa; Arthropoda; Arachnida; Araneae; Agelenidae. The record is from RNAcentral. RNAcentral also lists the same sequence under 1 other name.